RNAcentral lists this ribosomal RNA (253 nucleotides) under uncultured bacterium. RNAcentral describes it as "partial 16S ribosomal RNA". It matches the Rfam family "Bacterial small subunit ribosomal RNA", at positions 524 to 776 of the family's 1533-position model. The record is from RNAcentral.
UACAGAGGUCCCAAGCGUUGUUCGGAUUCAUUGGGCGUAAAGGGUGCGUAGGCGGCGCCGUAAGUCGGAUGUGAAAUCUCGGAGCUUAACUCCGAAACUGCAUUCGAUACUGCCGUGCUUGAGGACUGGAGAGGAGACUGGAAUUUACGGUGUAGCGGUGAAAUGCGUAGAUAUCGUAAGGAAGACCAGUGGCGAAGGCGGGUCUCUGGACAGUUCCUGACGCUGAGGCACGAAGGUCAGGGGAGCAAACGGG